AAGUCGUAACAAGGUUUCCGUAGGUGAACCUGCGGAAGGAUCAUUAUUGAAACUUCAUCUGGGGCGCCGCGGCCCUCAGCACCGGUGGAAACGCCGUGCUGCGGGGGCCGCGCGCGCACUCGUCCAAACCAAACCCCUGUGAACCUUACGGGAUGGCCUGGGUUAGCGCCCGGCGCCGUUCCGCUUUAUACAAACACUUAUCAAAGAAUGAACUGGAAGGCGGUCUGACCGCUGGAUAACAAACUGAAACAACUUUCAACAACGGAUCUCUUGGCUCUC
RNAcentral lists this unclassified non-coding RNA (279 nucleotides) under air metagenome. Its description in RNAcentral is "partial contains small subunit ribosomal RNA, internal transcribed spacer 1, and 5.8S ribosomal RNA". The stretch from base 1 to 46 matches the Rfam family "Eukaryotic small subunit ribosomal RNA", at positions 1786 to 1831 of the family's 1831-position model. The record is from RNAcentral.